AGAGUUUGAUCCUGGCUCAGAUUGAACGCUAGCGGGAUGCUUUACACAUGCAAGUCGAACGGCAGCGCGAAGAAAGCUUGCUUUCUUUGGCGGCGAGUGGCGGACGGGUGAGUAACGCAUCGGAAUGUGCCCAGUAGCGGGGGAUAACUACUCGAAAGAGUGGCUAAUACCGCAUAUUCUCUACGGAGGAAAGAGGGGGACCUUAGGGCCUCUCACUACUGGAGCAGCCGAGGUAAGAUUAGCUAGUUGGUGGGGUAAAGGCCUACCAAGGCAACGAUCUGUAGCUGGUUUGAGAGGACGACCAGCCACACUGGGACUGAGACACGGCCCAGACUCCUACGGGAGGCAGCAGUGGGGAAUUUUGGACAAUGGGCGAAAGCCUGAUCCAGCAAUGCCGCGUGCAGGAUGAAGGCCUUCGGGUUGUA
This 425-nucleotide ribosomal RNA is filed under the name uncultured prokaryote. RNAcentral describes it as "bacterial SSU rRNA". It matches the Rfam family "Bacterial small subunit ribosomal RNA", at positions 8 to 427 of the family's 1533-position model. The record is from RNAcentral.